CAAUGAGAUGAUGAUUGAACUUUGUUUCCCUAUUGGUUUGAUUGCCGUCAUGAUGGCAUCUAUGUAUUAGCUCUAUCUGAUCAUUC
Molecule: small nucleolar RNA, 86 nt
Organism: Prunus persica (peach)
Lineage: Eukaryota; Viridiplantae; Streptophyta; Magnoliopsida; Rosales; Rosaceae
Rfam family: Small nucleolar RNA Z102/R77
About the family: Z102 and R77 and are members of the C/D class of snoRNA which contain the C (UGAUGA) and D (CUGA) box motifs. Most of the members of the box C/D family function in directing site-specific 2'-O-methylation of substrate RNAs.
Source: Rfam